AGCGAGAGCGGAGUUAACUGAGAAGAUGGCCUGCGCUUCCUUCUUUUAUAGUAUUCCCCCCCUCUCCUCCCGGAAACUCCGGACAGACGGCGGAUGGCUGGAGGCUGAUUGAAUCACCAGGCGCUGGCUGUGAUUCAGCUCUCACGCCCGCGAGUUCGUGACUGGGGGGACCGCUCCUUUGUCUUUACCUCCGAAGGCUCUGGGCCAGGCUUUUCCUUAAAUUGGUGAGAAAAAUUGAAUGCAGUGAGAUCUUCUGGUAUUUAAACAUCAGGAAUCAUUUAGAAAAAGCUCCUAAAGACCUAACCAGAGGAAAAAUGUAAUUCAAAGAAUAAAGGAAUCUGAGAAGGCCACCAUUCAUC
This is a long non-coding RNA of Candoia aspera, 359 nucleotides long. RefSeq lists it as uncharacterized. The record is from RefSeq and is a predicted model, not a curated record. The transcript has 3 exons. NCBI's taxonomy places the organism in Eukaryota, Metazoa, Chordata, Lepidosauria, Squamata, Candoiidae.